UACAGAGGGUGCGAGCGUUAAUCGGAAUUACUGGGCGUAAAGCGUGCGUAGACGGUUAUUUAAGUCGGAUGUGAAAGCCCCGGGCUCAACCUGGGAAUUGCAUUCGAGACUGAAUAGCUAGGGUGCGGUAGAGGGAAGCGGAAUUUCCGGUGUAGCGGUGAAAUGCGUAGAUAUCGGGAGGAACACCAGUGGCGAAGGCGACUUCCUGGCCUGUUCUUGACGCUGAGGCGCGAAAGCUAGGGUAGCAAACGGG
Molecule: ribosomal RNA, 253 nt
Filed under: uncultured bacterium
Lineage: Bacteria
Description: partial 16S ribosomal RNA
Rfam family: Bacterial small subunit ribosomal RNA
Source: RNAcentral